CACGUAGGGGACGAGCGUUGUCCGGAUUCAUUGGGCGUAAAGCGCGCGUAGGCGGCUCGGAAAGUCGGUCGUGAAAUGCCGGGGCUCAACCCCGGGACUGCGUCCGAUACUCCCGAGCUGGAGGCAGGUAGGGGAGAUCGGAAUUCCUGGUGUAGCGGUGAAAUGCGCAGAUAUCAGGAGGAACACCGGUGGCGAAGGCGGAUCUCUGGGCCGAUACUGACGCUGAGGAGCGAAAGCGUGGGGAGCAAACAGG
Molecule: ribosomal RNA, 253 nt
Filed under: uncultured bacterium
Lineage: Bacteria
Description: partial 16S ribosomal RNA
Rfam family: Bacterial small subunit ribosomal RNA
Source: RNAcentral